ACAAACUUGGUCAUUUAGAGGAAGUAAAAGUCGUAACAAGGUUUCCGUAGGUGAACCUGCGGAAGGAUCAUUGCUGAUGCCGGCGGCCCAGUGGCUGAUCCCUCGAGAGGGGGUGAAGCUGCUGCGCCGCUUCCAACAUCAUUUGCCCCUUCAUGUGAACCCGGCAUUGGAGACCGAGCGCGAGUGAGCUUUGGGGCCCACACGCUUUCCCCAGAUCAUCCCCGUCAAAGGGGGUGAGAUCGGGAUAGGCCUCCUCUGCCCAAAACAAACCUGUCUUCUCUAACCUGUAUCCCAGACUGAAGCAAAAAAAAAACAAAAACAUUCUUACAACUUUUAACAAUGGAUAUCUUGGCUCGCGCAUCGAUGAAGAACGCAGC
This 377-nucleotide unclassified non-coding RNA is filed under the name uncultured fungus. RNAcentral's name for it is "partial contains small subunit ribosomal RNA, internal transcribed spacer 1, and 5.8S ribosomal RNA". The stretch from base 1 to 73 matches the Rfam family "Eukaryotic small subunit ribosomal RNA", at positions 1759 to 1831 of the family's 1831-position model. Lineage: Eukaryota; Fungi. The record is from RNAcentral.